Long non-coding RNA from Meriones unguiculatus (Mongolian gerbil), 317 nucleotides. RefSeq lists it as uncharacterized. NCBI's taxonomy places the organism in Eukaryota, Metazoa, Chordata, Mammalia, Rodentia, Muridae. The transcript is spliced from 3 exons. The record is from RefSeq and is a predicted model, not a curated record.
UUUUGUUUUGUUUCCAGAAAGCUUUCUACUUUGGGCUUCUGUCUGAUGGUCAAGGAGAGAGCAACUCAGGAGAAACAUUCCACCUUGGUCAUGGUUAUUUAUUUCCUGAACUAUGACUGAGCUUUGCUUGGUACAUUUCUGGUCCCCGAUGCACCAUCCUCAACCAGGGAUCACUGAAAGGUUCUCCCCGCACACAGCUGCUGUGGACCGUACCUCACCAUCCAAACACGGGAGAUGAUUGCCUCUUGGCAUUAGCCAGCGAGCACACUUGUUCACCCCAGCCUUCAGAACCAGUAACUCCACAACAAGGCAUUCUG